Non-coding RNA from Linepithema humile (Argentine ant), 1221 nucleotides. NCBI's taxonomy places the organism in Eukaryota, Metazoa, Arthropoda, Insecta, Hymenoptera, Formicidae. The record is from RefSeq and is a predicted model, not a curated record.
UUUGCCGUAACGCAGAUAACAGCGCCAGCACGCGGAAGUAUAUCGAACCGCCGUCAUGCGGUUGAGUGGGGGAUAAAACGCUGCAAAGCGCGCACAAGGAGAGAGAAAGAGCGAACGAGAGAAAAAGACCUGCUGACUUCUCGUAGCUUCCUCAUAUCGCAAUCGUGAUUGUCGUCAAGUUAACCCCGGCUGAUUGUUUCCACUUGCACGCACAACGUGGAACGCCUUGAUGGAACAGUCAAGACAGUAGCCUCACGGUCUGGGAUCAUUCUGUAUAAUCAGUCUGCGGUAGGGAGUUGUCUUUGUCAUCGACCAAAGUUCAUGUCUUCCUUCCACUUCUUCCUUCCUGGCGCCACGCAGCACAACUUCAUCGUAACGUUACUGAGUUCUAAGACGAACUAGAACGAGCCUUCAAAGAAUGGGGUGUCUUUCGAUCGGAAAAGGACAAACAAAUGACAUGGGUUAGAUUUCCUUAUUUUUUCUAGUUAUUCGCUAACUGGUUGGCGUAAGAAAGAGACAGAGAGCCUCACAUUCGAUAUGUGUCCUCUUUCAAAUUGUGAACCUAGUGUUCCUUAUUUUAAAUAACGGUAGACUCCGAUAAAGUGGUCAUAAAUAUUCGACGAUUGUUCUCUCUAUGAAGGCCAAUUUUCCUCUUAUACUUAUUUUUUCUUCCACAUUGUUGUAUUUGAAUAAUAUACAACGGAUAUCCUUUCGAACGCCCACGUCGAUCGUAAUUAUUACAAGAAUAAUGGCAUAACUAGAUAAGUACUUCGAACUUUUUAUCAUUUCGUUGUCAGAGGAAAUUAUUUUUUUAAACGAACAACAUUAGUUUCAGGAGUUUGCAUAGAAUUUAUUUUAGAGAAAAAUUUCUUUCGAAUAUAAUACCAGAGUGUGUAUGUAUUUAAAAAAUUACUUGUUAGGCAGUUCGGAGAAAAUCCGUGAUUAAUCUCGAAGUAAAAAUGAAAAGAUCUUCUAGUAGUAUUCCACUCGCGCGAUGAAGAAGUGGACACAUGUCGGUGGACUAUAAAAUUUCCAUACAGAACCAAUAAUGCAAUGUUGUCGAACAACGCAAUUUGUCUAUAUUUUCGACGGAACCACUUUCCAGACCGCCUAUGCGCGCGCGCACGCGAUGCAAAUUCAAACGUCAGAGAUAUUAAUUGUGCAUUUCGACCGAUGCUCAUCGUGCUCAUUUGGAUUUUUCCUGUUUAUUUAAUCGGCGAA